CCAGCUUCUUGUAUGCGUGCGUGUGUGGUCACGGUCGAUAUAAUAUUUGGGUGAAGUUGCGAGAAAUUUACACUGUACAAGUUCCAAACCUCUCUUCAUUGAUUUGGAUAGGUGAUCAUAUUCCAUCGGUGAUUCUCUCAUUUUGGCAAUAUUUGUGAUCGGCGAUAAGGUGAUCAAGGGGGCAUUGGGAACGAGCGAAGAG
This is a long non-coding RNA of Erigeron canadensis, 202 nucleotides long. RefSeq lists it as uncharacterized. The transcript has 3 exons. The record is from RefSeq and is a predicted model, not a curated record. Lineage: Eukaryota; Viridiplantae; Streptophyta; Magnoliopsida; Asterales; Asteraceae.